This 85-nucleotide transfer RNA is filed under the name Actinomycetales bacterium. RNAcentral describes it as "tRNA-Tyr". It matches the Rfam family "tRNA". Rfam says of the family: Transfer RNA (tRNA) molecules are approximately 80 nucleotides in length. Lineage: Bacteria; Bacillati; Actinomycetota; Actinomycetes; Actinomycetales. The record is from RNAcentral.
GGGAGGUUGCCCGAGCGGCCAACGGGAGCCGGACUGUAAAUCCGUCGCGAAAGCUACGAAGGUUCGAAUCCUUCACCUGCCACCA